RNAcentral lists this ribosomal RNA (497 nucleotides) under uncultured bacterium. Its description in RNAcentral is "partial 16S ribosomal RNA". It matches the Rfam family "Bacterial small subunit ribosomal RNA", at positions 28 to 507 of the family's 1533-position model. The record is from RNAcentral.
GAUGAACGCUGGCGGCGUGCCUAAUACAUGCAAGUCGAGCGAACAGAUGAGGAGCUUGCUCCUCUGACGUUAGCGGCGGACGGGUGAGUAACACGUGGAUAACCUACCUAUAAGACUGGGAUAACUUCGGGAAACCGGAGCUAAUACCGGAUAAUAUAUUGAACCGCAUGGUUCCAUAGUGGAAGACGGUUUUGCUUUCACUUAUAGAUGGAUCCGCGCCGCAUUAGCUAGUUGGUAAGGUAACGGCUUACCAAGGCAACGAUGCGUAGCCGACCUGAGAGGGUGAUCGGCCACACUGGAACUGAGACACGGUCCAGACUCCUACGGGAGGCAGCAGUAGGGAAUCUUCCGCAAUGGGCGAAAGCCUGACGGAGCAACGCCGCGUGAGUGAUGAAGGUCUUCGGAUCGUAAAACUCUGUUAUUAGGGAAGAACAAAUGUGUAAGUAACUAUGCACGUCUUGACGGUACCUAAUCAGAAAGCCACGGCUAACUACGUG